GGUGAUAGUCCCGUAUAGGUAAAAAUUAAUAUUAUUCUCGAGUAGUGCGGAACACGUGAAAUUUUGUCUGAAUAUGGGGAGACCACUUCCCAAGCCUAAAUACUCCUUGAUGACCGAUAGUGAACUAGUACCGUGAGGGAAAGGUGAAAAGCACCCCGAUAGGGGGAAUGAAAUAGUAUCUGAAACCGAAUGCCUACAAGCAGUCAGAGCUUCCUUGAGAAGUGAUGGCAUACCUUUUGUAUAAUGGGUCAGCGACUUAGUCUGUGCAGCAAGCUUAAGCCGUUAGGUGUAGGCGUAGGGAAACCAAGUCUUAAUAGGGCGUUAGUUGUACGGAUUAGACUCGAAGCGGGAUGAGCUUAAUAUGAGCAGGUUGAAGAUGCAGUAACAUGCAUCGGAGGACCGAACCAGGAAACGUUGAAAUGUUUUUGGAUGACUUGUGUUAAGGGGUGAAAGGCCAACCAAAUUCCGCUAUAGCUAGUUCUCCGCGAAAACUAUUUAGGUAGUGCGUUGUGUGAAUGAUGUUGGGGGUAAAGCACUGGAUGGGCUAGGGGGAAGCAAUUCCUACCAAACCUAACCAAACUCUGAAUACCAAUAUUCUAUGCACAGCAGACAGACUAUAGGUGCUAAGGUCUAUAGUCGAGAGGGAAACAGCCCAGAUCACCAGUUAAGGCCCCCAAAUAAUGGCUAAGUGGGAAAGUAUGUAGAAAGACCAAGACAGGCAGGAGGUUGGCUUAGAAGCAGCCAUCCUUUAAAGAUAGCGUAACAGCUCACUGUUCUAAUUAAGUUUUUCCGCGACGAAGAUGUAACGGGGCUAAAGCCAUUUGCCGAAACUGUGACUUUGUAAUUAUUGCGAUAAUUACAAGGGGUAGCGGAGCGUUCUGUAAGCCGUCGAAGAUGUUUUGAAAAAAAUAUUGGAGGUAUCAGAAGUGCGAAUGCUGACAUGAGUAGCGAUAAAGAGUGUGAGAGCCACUCUCGCCGAAAUCCUAAGGUUUCCUGCGUAAAGUUAAUCUGCGCAGGGUUAGUCGGCCCCUAAGGCGAGGGAGAAAUCCGUAGUCGAUGGGAAACAGGUUAAUAUUCCUGUACCUUCUGAGAGUUGACGGAUUAUGUAAAUAGUAUUUACUUAUUGGAUUGUAAAUGCUGUGAAAUAGUCCCUGGAAAUAGCCUCAGAUUAUAGAUCGUACCUAAACCGACACAGGUAGGAAGGUAGAGUAUACCAAGGCGCUUGAGAGAAUGAUGUUGAAGGAACUCGGCAAAAUGCUCUUGUAACUUCGGAAUAAGAGAGACCAUUAUUUAGGCAACUAAUUAGUGGUGGCACAGAAUAGGGAGAAGCGACUGUUUAUCAAAAACACAGGUCUCUGCUAAGUCGUAAGACGAUGUAUAGGGACUGACGCCUGCCCGGUGCCGGAAGGUUAAAUGGUGGAGUGCAAGCUCUAAAAUGAAGCCCCGGUGAACGGCGGCCGUAACUAUAACGGUCCUAAGGUAGCGAAAUUCCUUGUCAGGUAAGUUCUGACCCGCAUGAAUGGCGUAACGAUUUCUCCGCUGUCUCCAACAUCAACUCAGCGAAAUUGAAUUCUCCGUGAAGAUGCGGAGUUCCCGUGGUUAGACGGAAAGACCCC
RNAcentral lists this ribosomal RNA (1616 nucleotides) under marine metagenome. RNAcentral describes it as "bacterial LSU rRNA". It matches the Rfam family "Bacterial large subunit ribosomal RNA", at positions 363 to 2092 of the family's 2925-position model. The record is from RNAcentral.